Molecule: RNA transcript, 1535 nt
Organism: Alosa sapidissima (American shad)
Lineage: Eukaryota; Metazoa; Chordata; Actinopteri; Clupeiformes; Clupeidae
Gene name: desiccation/radiation resistance protein DR_1769-like
Exons: 11
Source: RefSeq, a predicted model, not a curated record
CGACUAACCGGCCCCGUUAGAGGGCCCCAGUGAGAUUGGUGGGCUGCAGUCACAUGGUAUACGCAACCGUCUCGUCUGAUGAUGAUGCACGUAAUCGACGUCCGAACAGGAAACGUUUCGUGGAAUGUUUUUAAAAACAGAAGGAACGUGUUGUACCUUUUAACAAACAAUAUUAUGUUAGCUUUGAUGAUCGGUCCUGUGUCGUGACUUUUGCUUUGCUAAAACAACGGUCCAAACCAGCGAUGGAUUAUUGAAAUGUACAUGGACAAAGCUAACAAACUAUAGUAACAUCACUUUAACAAACGUGGUAGCUCCGAUUUCCAAUCGAUGUAUAAUGUGGCCUCUUCAUUUUCAACUGGGAAGGACCUGCAUGGACUUGAGAAUACAGAGCCAAUCGUUUUUUUUGUGAGUGUCUCAGAGAUCCCACCUUUGGAGCAGUUGUCAGGAGCCUCAAGGCGGUGCCGUUCGUCUUGGUCCCAUUCCUCUAGCACCUAGCGUUACCGCGCCAGAAGAGAGAAACCUUGUACGUUUCGAACAGUUUAUCUCCUUCCAGGAAUAAUCCACCGACUCCAAACUGAUCCUGGCUUGUUUGUGAUGUCCCGUUGUUCAACAUAUUCUGAUUUCAUACUUAUCGGACCAACAUAAAAGUUCAAGAGGGAUCUCUCGUAUGCAGUGCUGCUCCUUUGCCUCGUCAAGGUUUGAAGAGACAGAGGACGGUGGUGCAAAAGAGAAGGAGGGCCAGCCGGGCCUCGUGGAGUUCAAUCAGUGGCAGGAUGAAGAAUCGGUGCAGUGGUGAGGCUGGAGCACCCCUGGCUUUUGCCGUAUGGGUUGACUUCAGCAGUGAGUCACCCACCUUCAAUUUCACAGAUGCUUUGGGGGUGAGAGGCCAUACGUUGACCCUGAUAUCAGUGGCACAUAUUGCCGGCUGGCAAUUGGUCGUCUGAUAAAAGAACAUGCACUGAGUCAGGGUUUGUCUCGGCCUGAAUAUCUGCCACAACACAGGCCGCCUUGGUGGCCCUUUGCCUCAGUCAGUGACGGAAAAGGUGAAGGGCGUAAAGCUUUCACUGCUGAAAAGCUGAGGCAGGUGGUACGCUCAUACAAUGCGUAUUACAAUCUCCAGCAGUCUGUUGAGGCACCACCAUCACCCCCAUCACCAGCACCAGCAACACCAGCAGCAGCAGAAACACCUGCUGCGCCUCUCACCCCCCUCACCCCCUCCAACCCCCACCCCACCCCACCCCACCCCAUGAGGUAAGGACGCUGGGGCACAGCGCCUCUCACCCCCCCCCAUGAGGCAAGGACGCUGGGCACCAGCAGCAGCAUCACUACCAGCAGCAGCAUCACCACUACCAGCCUUUAAUGCAGAUUUCAAUCUCCAGUCAGAGAAUGUGCAGCAGUUUGUUGAGGCACCACCAGCAACAGUAGCAGUACCAGCUGCAGCUGUGUCAGUGGCAGGAGCAGCACCAACAGCAGCACAAACACCAUCAGCACCACAAACACCCAAUGCAAUAACAAUAAAGGCAUUCAUUCAUUUA